Sardina pilchardus (European sardine) is the source of this 1415-nucleotide long non-coding RNA. RefSeq lists it as uncharacterized. The record is from RefSeq and is a predicted model, not a curated record. The transcript is spliced from 4 exons. NCBI's taxonomy places the organism in Eukaryota, Metazoa, Chordata, Actinopteri, Clupeiformes, Clupeidae.
UGAAACUGACAGCAACAACAAAUAGCUAUCCGAAUGUGAGAUUCAUCGCAUCAGUGAUCUCUUCAUUGUCACCUAAUUUAAACUCAAAAUAUACCACUCGUGUUUGUUUUACAUUUUGACGUGACAUGUCAAAAGUUAGGCCUGUACGUGACUUUACCCAAAGCGUAGUAGAUGUGUUGCGUGGGGCACAAAAGGGGUGUAUGAAACGGAGAAAGCCGUGAAGUGGUCCAUCGAGCGAGCCUACCACCAACCGCGGCUGACUCAGUCGUGAUGUGAUGAUGCGCUAUUGAAAAGUCGCCCAGUGGACGGAUGAGCCUACCCCGUUAACACUACUCGCUCUCUUCAACACAUAGCUUAACAAUUACAGCAGAAGUGUCACGAUCAUAAACCUAGCCAAAUUACUAUUUAUUUUAGAGUUUCACUUGAAGACGAUCAAGCCCAGCUGGCAUCCUGACGUCAAUUUGACAUCAACAAGUAGUCAAGAUUUUGACCAACAUGUAUGACGUGCAUAAAUAUGCAUAAUUUCAUUAUAUUUUGUAAUGAUUUCCUUGUGGUUGUAAAGAGGCCCAACAAAGGUAUCAAUCUAACAUGUUUUUUCUGGUCCCUACAUCUCAGGUCUAUAUUAUUGACAUUAAAUCAACGUUGAUUUGAUGUCAGGAAAUAAGACGUCAAAUUGAUGUGAAAUUUAUGUCAAAACAACGUCUGUUAAAAUGUCUGAAAAGGUAUAUUAUUAGCCUACUCAUUGUAAAUCGACGCGAGUUUUUCAACAUCCUGACCCACACAGCAGGGUUCCAAAACGGACCCUCUGCGGUGGACUCCGUGCGGAUACACACAUCGAACGCGCCCUUUCCAGUCCUAACGGCUCCUUCAGUUUUCAAAUUUCUCGUUGAUGAAGUGGAAGACGAAACAGCGGCGUCUGAAGGCUGACUGUCAUUCACAAGUGGCUCCAGUCUGGUUUGGUGGUUCUGCCAUCCAAGUAAAGUAAGCUUUACAGUUUUACAUUUGAUUUAUUUGACUUUUGGUCUAAACAUUAAUAAUAAAAAAUAACCAUAUGCCUCUGUAACUGGUGUUACUAGUUCAGGACGAAGUGAAGGUAAAUGUCAACAUGCUUAAAUGCCUUUGUCUGCUGUAAUAAAACCCACCCUCUACCUCAAAAGCUCUCUAAUGAAAUGUACAUUUAUGUACAUUUCUGCGUUACAGGUUAUUCACAAGUGGCUCCAGUCUGGUUUGGGGGUCUACGCUUUCUCAUCCUGUCCUGCCACCCAAGUGAAGUUAUUCACAAGUGGCUCCAGUCUGGUUUGGGGGUCUACGCUUUCUCAUCCUGUCCUGCCACCCAAGUGAAGUUAUUCACAAGUGGCUCCAGUCUGGUUUGGGGGUCUACGCUUUCUCAUCCUGUCCUGCCACCCAUGUGAAGU